UUUAGUGUGUGCUGUUUCUUUGACUUGUUUCUUAUUAACAGGACAGUGAGACCACAAUUAAACAUACAUCUUGAAUUUCUCGACAUCACUGCUGUUUUCAGUUUUGGCACAGACUGAAAAAAACCCUGUUUUAACUUUUUUUUUUCAGUUUUCUGCAAAAACAAAACUUGUGGUUACUUUGAGAAAUAAACUUGAAUCCUCGUGCUACUCUCUCUCUUUUUUUUAACUGCAGCCAAUAAGGAGUUUAACCCACCAUCAAACACACACACACACACAGUGACCAAAGGAGUGCUAUGUGUGCAUAUCAGACACCUGACAGCACAGAGACAUCUGGCCAUUUGUAAGGUCUUGAUUGGAUGUACAGAAUGACCUGUUUAACUGAGUGGACAGGUGUCGUGCCACUGUUAGCUCGCACACUGCUUCCUCCUCUGCUGAUAUGAAGCUGUCAUGUUGUGCCGGUAAUGGGUGAGGCGUCACACAUGGGAGGUGAAGUGCAUCUCCGUUUUUCUUUUUGUUUUUUUGCCUUUUUGCACACUAGCACCUGGUGUACAGGAUGGAGGUUUAAAGAGCAUGUUUUUGUGCUUUUCCCCCCCUUUUUUUCUUCUUUUUUUGACCGCACUGUUACAUCAGCGAUACACAGCACUGCACUGCCUUGUCAACAGGAUAAGACAGUGGUAGUAAAACAAAGUAAACAGUCCCCUGAUGGUAGCAAAGUCCCUGUGGUGUGAUUUACAAACAGGAUUUCUCCUCCCUUUGCUGGCCAUUCUCUGACAGGCUCAGGAAACCAAGCCUGCUGUGCCUGAUAAGGAACUGGACUAAAAGAAAUCCAUUAAACUGGGCACUGAACCUUCUUCCCAUCCUGCCCUGUCUUCUUCAGAAGCAGGAAGACCACAGGAGAGACCUGUGUGACUUUUUCUCACAGUGCAGCUGACAAUAGUGCAAUCAGCUGGUAACAAGUGUCACACCAUUGCCCUUUCCUCUGUUUGUUGCUGCCAUCUAUUUUGACUUGCCUCCAGCACAUAUCUAUCAAUUGUUCUGCAUUUUCAGAUGUCUGCAUGUCUGGGUUAGGUGAAGAGCGUUACAGCGUCUCUCCGAGGCUCUUCACACAGAGGGAGAUGAGGGAAAAAGCUGAAGAUCUGACGGGGGACAAGAAAAUCUGACAGUCGAGUAAGAGCGAUUUAACGCCACGUGGACAAAUGGC
Long non-coding RNA from Astatotilapia calliptera (eastern happy), 1201 nucleotides. Lineage: Eukaryota; Metazoa; Chordata; Actinopteri; Cichliformes; Cichlidae. The record is from Ensembl.